Molecule: ribosomal RNA, 558 nt
Filed under: uncultured bacterium
Lineage: Bacteria
Description: partial 16S ribosomal RNA
Rfam family: Bacterial small subunit ribosomal RNA
Source: RNAcentral
UGGGGAAUAUUGCACAAUGGGCGAAAGCCUGAUGCAGCGACGCCGCGUGCGGGAUGAAGGCCUUCGGGUUGUAAACCGCUUUUAAUCGGGAGCAAGCGAGAGUGAGUGUACCUUUUGAAUAAGCACCGGCUAACUACGUGCCAGCAGCCGCGGUAAUACGUAGGGUGCAAGCGUUAUCCGGAAUUAUUGGGCGUAAAGAGCUCGUAGGCGGUUUGUCACGCCUGGUGUGAAAGUCCAUCGCUUAACGGUGGAUCUGCGCCGGGUACGGGCAGGCUAGAGUGCAGUAGGGGAGAUUGGAAUUCCCGGUGUAACGGUGGAAUGUGUAGAUAUCGGGAAGAACACCAAUGGCGAAGGCAGAUCUCUGGGCUGUUACUGACGCUGAGGAGCGAAAAGCAUGGGGAGCGAACAGGAUUAGAUACCCUGGUAGUCCAUGCCGUAAAACGGUGGAUGCUGGAUGUGGGGCCCUUCCACGGGCUCCGUGUCGGAGCUAACGCGUUAAGCAUCCCGCCUGGGGAGUACGGCCGCAAGGCUAAAAACUCUAAAGUGAAUUGACGGGGU